This is a long non-coding RNA of Solanum tuberosum (potato), 1415 nucleotides long. RefSeq lists it as uncharacterized. The record is from RefSeq and is a predicted model, not a curated record. NCBI's taxonomy places the organism in Eukaryota, Viridiplantae, Streptophyta, Magnoliopsida, Solanales, Solanaceae. The transcript is spliced from 3 exons.
CUUGUUAUCUUCUUCUUUUUCUACUCUUCAUUCUUCCCUUUUAUUCUCUCUUUGUUUUAUUCUUUUUUAUUAAUUCUCUACAUUAAUGAAAUAAAUAUAACUCCUAAAGAAAUUUAUUUCACUUUAACCUAAUUUUUCAACUUGGGUUUCUAAGAAUUCAUUCAAUCAUCAUAUAUUUUGUAGAUGACUUAAGGGAUUCAAAGUUCAACAAAUGCACAUAAAUUAUUUUGGAGUUCACAUAUUGUGAGGUAUUGCUAAUGGAAUUUGAUGGACAUUUGUAUCAGCUUUCGGUUCGUUUGGAUACUUGGAUUUUCUACAUACAUAUUUCUAAGCAAGUAAAGAAGAAGGCUGGAUAUAUGUGGAACAUUUCAAAUUUCGAGAUUCAAAUAAGUUUAUCAUCAACUUCGUGGUACUUAAUUUACGUCUUCGUGGAAGAGAAAACUAAAUCCUAAUUCAGAACAUUAUAUCUGCCUAUUAUAAACAUGUUACUGUAUCACGACACUAUUAAUUAUUAAAAUGAGAGCUUGCAAAACUGAUUUAGACCAAAGAGAGCUACUUCAUUUUUAUUUGUUUUAGCCACCUGGUGCAAAUUAGAACAAUAUUGAGCAUUAUAACAUUUUUUAUUUUAUAUUCUCCUUAUUUAGAAGUGGGAGUUGUGCUAGGACGAACACAACACUAAAAAUUGGUACCACUAUUUAGAAGUGGGAGUUGUGCUAGGACGAACACAACACUAAAAAUUGGUACCACUAUUUAGAAGUGGGAGUUGUGCUAGGACGAACACAACACUAAAAAUUGGUACCACUAUUUAGAAGUGGGAGUUGUGCUAGGACGAACACAACACUAAAAAUUGGUACCACUAUUUAGAAGUGGGAGUUGUGCUAGGACGAACACAACACUAAAAAUUGGUACCACUAUUUAGAAGUGGGAGUUGUGCUAGGACGAACACAACACUAAAAAUUGGUACCACUAUUUAGAAGUGGGAGUUGUGCUAGGACGAACACAACACUAAAAAUUGGUACCACUAUUUAGAAGUGGGAGUUGUGCUAGGACGAACACAACACUAAAAAUUGGUACCACUAUUUAGAAGUGGGAGUUGUGCUAGGACGAACACAACACUAAAAAUUGGUACCACUAUUUAGAAGUGGGAGUUGUGCUAGGACGAACACAACACUAAAAAUUGGUACCACUAUUUAGAAGUGGGAGUUGUGCUAGGACGAACACAACACUAAAAAUUGGUACCACUAUUUAGAAGUGGGAGUUGUGCCACGAGCAAAUUGUACUGUAGCCAAACACAUUUCAAAUUGUAUUGUGAGGCCUCAUAAUUUUUGGCCCAAUUUGAUUAGGUAUUACCACUUGGAGGCUCUUUUAUUUCCACGUGUGAGCAAUUGAUAUUGCUUCAGGCUGAUAUCAGGAAA